RNAcentral lists this transfer RNA (65 nucleotides) under uncultured Metasolibacillus sp. It matches the Rfam family "tRNA". From Rfam's summary of the family: Transfer RNA (tRNA) molecules are approximately 80 nucleotides in length. Their secondary structure includes four short double-helical elements and three loops (D, anti-codon, and T loops). Further hydrogen bonds mediate the characteristic L-shaped molecular structure. tRNAs have two regions of fundamental functional importance: the anti-codon, which is responsible for specific mRNA codon recognition, and the 3' end, to which the tRNAs corresponding amino acid is attached (by aminoacyl-tRNA synthetases). tRNAs cope with the degeneracy of the genetic code in two manners: having more than one tRNA (with a specific anti-codon) for a particular amino acid; and 'wobble' base-pairing, i.e. permitting non-standard base-pairing at the 3rd anti-codon position. Lineage: Bacteria; Bacillati; Bacillota; Bacilli; Caryophanales; Caryophanaceae. The record is from RNAcentral.
GAAGUAGCUCAGUGGUAGAGCAACCGGCUGUUAACCGGUUGGUCGCAGGUUCGAGCCCUGCCUUC